RNAcentral lists this long non-coding RNA (6622 nucleotides) under Homo sapiens (human). RNAcentral describes it as "HSALNT0311423". Lineage: Eukaryota; Metazoa; Chordata; Mammalia; Primates; Hominidae. The record is from RNAcentral.
CUUGGGAUAAAUACAUAAUUUUAUGCAAACUCUGCUAUGGUCACUUUAACAUGGCACUGUGUCAAUCCAGCAUUCACCCAAAUAUUGAAAGGAGAUGGUAGUGUCCUACAGAAUCAUCUUCAAAUUCUCCACUAGGCUCAUGAAUUGUAAAGUAGUGGUUUUAAACACAACACCCUGCAGUACACAGUUUGGGUUGGCUCUUCUCUGGAUUUCAGCUUCCCCAAAUACAAACUAGCAAGUGGAGCCAUCCUAUGCCCCCUGAUAAUGGCAGAACCCUGAAGUUGGCAGCCUCUUCAGUUUGCAGGAGAGGAUGUGAGAACAGAGAAAACAAUGGCUUGCCCAAGGCAAAGUGGCCAUUGAGGGACAAAUCUAAGACUGGUGCCUAUACUCCUCAUCUAAGGCCUUAAAAAACAAGCAAACCAGAACUUCUAUUUUCUAUCACCGUGGCACAUCAGGAAUUUAUGCUCACAAAUAUGACUCACAGCAUCAUCCUCCUCCUAAAGCUUGUAAAAUGCUCCAGUGCAGCCUUCUGUAUUUGUAAAUGUUUUUUGGUGUGGAGAGAUAUGUGGCUGUAACUGAGUAAGGUAUGGGCAUGCUGUGGUACUUUGUUUAUGAGUGUGCAAUAAUAUAUGUCAAUAUCUGUAGUGAUCUUGAAUGUGUGUGGCAAAAGGAAGUCCAGUUAACUUUUGCUUUCUAAUCAUGAGUUCCUCUCAACAGGCCCAGGCAACACUGACAGACUAGAAAAAAAAUAUCAGGAGAUGAAGCUGACACAGUGAGAGCAGCCCAGGUGCUUCUUGGUGCUUGUUAUUACAGACACACACUUCACACAGGGGAGGAUUAUUUUAAUUCUGUGGCCUUCAGAUCUCAUAAAUACAAGUAAAAACAAGCAGAUGAGAAAAUGAAGGCUAGGAGGGCUCAUGUGACUUGUCCAAGGUCAGCUAGCCAGCAAGCAGUGGCACUGAGAUUUAACCCAGUCCCCUCAACUUCAAGAUCCACACUCAUCCCUUGAGACCACGGCAUCUUCACAUCUGCCACUAAGUACCUGGCAAAGUUGUUGGCUGAUUGGCUGAUUUAAAAAAGCAAAGCAGGAACCGCAGAAUCUCUCUCCCAGAUGGAAAUGGAAGUUGUUGCUCUUGACCAAAGGAGUCUGUGGAUCCUGUGUACUGUCCAGUAAGCUGUUCCUGAUAUGGAGAGCACCAUACUUUUGGCAACUUCUUUCAGGCUUGGCUACCAAAGGCUUUGCACAUCUCUCCUGGCGCUCUUAGAUGGAGGUCCGUCUUUGCUGGUGAUGAGAAGUGAAUCAACAGUUUGCUGGGUAGCCACUGUGGGCCAUUAUCUCAUGUUCUCUUCACAGUGACCCUAUGAGGAACAUCUUCCAUGAUCACACGUUAGAGACAGGGUGAGGCGGUGAUUAGUAGUGGAGUUGGGAUGGAGGCCCAGAUUGGGCAGCUCUCUCCUGCAUCCCACCCCAUUGUUGCUCUGCCUUCCCUCCAUUGCUUCCUGCCCCAGUCACCAUGUUGCCCUUUGCCUCUCCCCAUGAAGGGUGUGGCUGCAGGAGCACCAGGCGAGAGACAGGGCCGGUGUCCAACUGGGGAAGCCGGGAGUUGACAUUUCCAUGAGUAGUGAGGAGGCUGACAUUCUGCCAUGGGGGGAGCUAGUCCCAGCUUCCAGGGGCCCAGGUUCCCAAGGAAAUAGCUUGGCCUGUAUUUAAGACAGAAGCCUCUCAAACUGGGGUCAAAGUAAGGAACACUGCUCCUUUCCACUGACAUUUCCAGAUUUGGAGAUGCAGCGUGCAAAGGAGGAUGAUGGUAAGCUAGCGUUUGAAUGAUCAAAGGGCACACUUUGGUGAGAGCAAAGCAGUGUUGAAGGACUUUCUUCUUUCUCUUGACCUUUAUUUCCUCCUCCUGGGGUCUGUAUGUUCCCUUAACUUAGCCUGACACCUCCAUUCACCUCUCUUGCCCAAACUCCUCUCUGUACCUGUGGGCACCUGCCAAGUCUAGAGGCUACAGAAGUAACAUGCGGAGGAUUUGAAUGUUUUUCUUUUUCACCCCAUAAGACAUGAUUAUUUUCUAAGAGAAAAUUAUCCAUAGCUACCUCCUUUCUUCAUUUUAGGCCAACCAGUUCUCUCAGCUCUCUGCAGGGCAGUAAAAAUGCCCUUAUUGCUUAGAAACUGUUCAUAAUUACAUCAGUUUCUGGCCAUUAAGUCCCAUAAGUCUAAAAUGUUGAAUAUAAUAUAGCUGCUUUGGGAAGUCUUUUAGGCCUGAUCCAACUAACUAACUACAACAGCCAGUUCCAAAAUAAGUGAGGACACAGUUUUAAUUGGCAAAAAAUUAUGAUGUGGACUUUUUGUAGAUAUAAAAAUAAAUGGGAGGUUGGCCCAAAGUAAGUUCUGGUGAAAUACAGGAUCAGGACUACCGUUUUGCCCAGGAGGACCCAAACCAAGCACUUAGAAAAGCACGAGAGCAUAGAUUUCUAAGGCACUGGCAUGAGGAUGUCAACUAUGGAUGUGGCUGGAAUUAUUUCCUCACAAGAAAAAAUACUUGGGGUGGUAACCAAAGUGGGAUAGCUUCGGUCAUAAGAAGUGAGGAACAGUGUAUCUAUCACGCAAACCUGAUCCAAGCAAAUACUAACCAGUCCUUAGGAAUGCUAUAUGGGGUCAUAGUGAGCUGUGUAUUUGACAACAGAGUCACUGAUUUUGUGUUGAGAGUGUUUGUGUGAUAGGGAGGGCUCUGAGGUGGGAAACGGGAGGGAGAUAAGAGAAAGAGCUUAACAGGGCCUGUUUCCAGCCCCUUCUCUGAACCUCCCACUGGAUGGAGGGAAGCAAAGUAGAGCCAUGUCAAGUCAACUUGGCUAAAAAAGCCCACAGCUUCCUUCUUUCCCCAGUUCCUCACUCGACAAGGUAAGGAUACUAUCAGCCACUAAACCACUCUGCAGUGAUUCAGCCACUAUACAUAGGGACAAUCAGGAAAAUACUCAUAAUAUAAAGUAAAAAAACACACAAUAUAAAAACAUGCAUGGACCAUGACUGCAAGGAUAUGCAAUAAAUAUCAUACAUCCUGAAUUUGAGACCUCCAGUGUCGUAAGAAAGUGCCACCAAAUCCUCACACCCAAGGCCCUCAGUCUAGUCAAAGGUGGGCAGAAAAGCAAUCACAAUCACACAUGAGAUGCAUACACAUGAAAAGCUCUUUUGGCAACUGUAAAGGAUCCUACAAAUAUUAGCAUGAUUCUAUGGUCAAUAGGACAGUGUGUAUUGAGCACCUAUGUGUUGGACUCUGUUUAGAUUCUGGAGAAAUAGCAGGGGGUGCCGGGUGUCAAGUCAGAGCUUCCACCUUGAGAAACACAAUUAAAAAGUAAACAAAUACAAUAAUUUGAGAUGCUGAUAGGUGUCAUGAAGAAAGUAAAGGAGGGGAGAGAAGAACAAUGGUGUGAGGUCAGCCAGGACAGUCUCCCUGAGGAGGUGACACAUAAGCCAAGGGUAGAAUGAUGAGAAAGAACCAGCCAUGAGAACAUGUGAGGGACUUAUAUUGUAAAAAGGGGUGAUAGCAGCAACCAUGAAGGCCUGAAGUGGGAACAGGUGAGGCAGAGAUUUUUUAAAGGUUGCAGAAGCAGGGACCAGCUGGAAGCCAGAAGCCAGUUAGGAGGGACUUUGGGAAUGGUCCAGGUGAGAGGCAACAGGAUGAGGCACAACAUCCAGGAACUCACAUGCCAGCGCCAGAUCCCUAACCACGCUGACACAGUGCCUCCUCCCCUGCCUUCCAAUGACCCUUCAAUUGAGCAGAGGUAAGAUGCCGUGUGGCCCUUUGUCCUCAGUGGCAGAAGCAGUGCCUUGGUGGAGGUGUGAGCCAGCAGGUGGCUGUUGGGGUGGGCAUGCCACAUAAGCCACGCAUUUUAGACCCUCUCUUGUAGGGCUAAAUGCUGAAAUAGUCCCAUUCUGAGCAAACAGGAGAAGAGUCUGCCUCAUCAACCAUAUGGAAACAGAACCUGUGAGAUUCCUAUCAGAAAUAAAGUCACUCAAGUACUCUUCAAAGAAGGGGAAAAAAAGAGUUUCCAUUUGAAAAUGGGCAAUAUGAUUACAUAUUCUCUGAUUUGGAAGGAGAUGGAUUAAUCGACAAUUAUAAGCAAUCUCUUCAACAGAUUAUAUUAGAUGAGCAUUCUAUUUUUUGGUAACUUUUAAUACAUGGUGGAAUUUUUACGUGAAGUCUUCAGCCUCUCCUUGAAACUCAUGUUACAACUGGAGGAAAAAGUCAGUCAGUUAUGGCCAGCUGUAAUUUCUGCCCUUAAUAACAUGCUCUACUGAGCAAAAACACCUCUGCUGCAGUGAAUCCCCAGUGUGGAAGGGAGACUUGUGACAGGGCACAGGGCUGGGGCCUAAGACCUAAUCCCCACAGGCCCUCAGAGAAACCACCAUAAAGAACUCCAGAGGCAUCAAGUUGGGAUUUAUAAGGCAGGACAGAAGGACUCCACGACUUUGGGACACGAGGUGGCCAGGCCUGGAGAGUGGAGGCUGGGCCAGCACUGCAGAAUCCUCAGCCUGGACUGGGCACCGAGCCUCAGUCAGGAGGGCAGGUAGGGGACCAUCUCAGAUCCACGGCCACAGGGGGCCACGGCCAGCCAAAGUGUGAACCCAAGGUGGCCAGCUCUGAGAAUGAUCUGCAUGCUUCCUAGGACUGAGGGCAGCCACGUUUGUGAGACACACCGUCACCUCGGGCCCUUGCUGAGCAUGAGUCACAGCCAGGCGGAGUGCAGCUGGGCACCCACUGGAAACAGCUGGUAGGGCCACGCAAACUCAGUCAUUUGCUCUGUCCUCCAGACUUCACCUCAUACUUCUGUGGCUCUCUAAUGAAACAUUAGGGGCCGCCAAAAUUCCUUCAAAUUAAUAAAAUUGGGAGGAAAAUAAAAUGGAAAGGAAAAUUGAAGCACACUUGGUUUACAUUAUUAAAGCCGUCAGGCACCAAUUAAUCAAAAUCUAGGCCUGAUAUUGACUACUGGACAGCUGAAAAUUCCCAUGGUGGCUGUUAUUUUUGUUGAGGGACUUGAUCAAAUACCGACUCCAUUUGGAAACAUUUUAUAAUGACCGUUUUCAGAAAAUGAGCAGCCCCUUUGAGAGAUCUCACCCUUCCCUCCCUAAGGCAGGGCCACAGCUUUGAGGACGUUUUUUGCGAAGCCUUUGAGAGUCUGGCUCCAGGAGAAGGGAAGGGAAUCGUGAAAUCUGUGGGUUUUUACCUCCAAGAGACAGGUCCACUGUCAGCUGACCCAAAAGCAUCCAUUCUGCACAGCUUGGUGGUGACAAGUAGCUAUGUGUGUGGUAGGGGCUUGGAAAACUCCCAGGAGGCAUCUGCUGGUCCACACACCCCCUGCUCUGGGUGAAUCAGAGGACCACACAGGACCCAGCAGAAUGUGUAUGCACAGGAAAUAACUUUCUGGCUAAGUGUCAAAUCGGCCUUGAGAUAAAAUUAACUGAAGCAAGGUCUCCCAGGCCUCCAAGGGCAACAUCAAAGAGCCCGGAUAUUCCUCUCUAAAAGGCUUUGACAGGCUGAGUGGACCAACCUCCUCAGGCCUCUGCUCUUUAUACUUGUGGACAGGCCCAGCCAGAGCAGCGGCUGGUGCAGGUAGCAGGACAGGGUUGGGAUCCUGGACUCAAAGGAGUUGUGACCACCAUGUAGCAAUCACUCCUUCUGGGCAACCCUGGGCACUUGAACAGGACAGCAGAGCUAUGGUCCAACUGAAUCUCUAAUGGGUGAAGCUGAUUCUAGAAAAGCCUCAGGCUGGCUGCAGACUCUGCUUACACAUUUUUUUGCAGAGCAGAGAAGGAUGCAUAAAGAGAGGUCUCACAGAGUCAAGGUCCCAGAGCACUGAGACCACUGAGACCAAGAGAGACUCCCUCCCAGUCCAGGUGAGCUACCACGGGGGAAUUCUCACGCACAGGCUGUUUGGCUGCAAAUACGCUGGACUUUGUCAUUGUUUCUUUGCAUUUUUCUUGAUGGCUUAUAAUACAAGGUUAGGUCUCUUGGAAGCCUAAGAAGAUUAUCCAAAAAGGCUGUUUUCAGUUGGGUUAGAGUGUAAAUAGCAUACAAGUGCUUCAUGAACCCCAGUUCAAAUUCAAAGGUAUUCUUAGAAGGUUUUCAUUAAAUAAAGGCAGGAAAAUAAAUUAAGACCAAGAAAAUGAUUUCAACAGAGGGGUGAAGGGGGAGCUCCUAUUCUUCCUUCUUACUGAAGUGCUUCAUCCAAACAGCCUCCUUUACUUCCAUGGUCCCUUAAAACCACUUUGCUAGGAGUCGACUUAUGUGGAGCAAAGGCAAUACUAAUGGAGGGUGUGGCUCCUCUGUGGCCACUAAGUGGAAAAUAUAACCCUCUUGCCAGCUACCUCAUGUGGCAAGUGUGUGUGUGUGAGUAAAUCUGUGUCUCUAUUGGGGGGGGGGGGUUUAAGGCUUUUUUUUUUUUUGCUUUUAAGUUCCAGGAUACAUGUACAGUACAUGCAGGUUGGUUACAUAGGUAUACGUGUGCCACGGUGGUCUGAUGCAGCUAUUGACCCGUCUUCUAAGUUGCCUCCCCUUGCCCCGCAUCCCCCAACAGGCCCUGGUGUGUGAUGUUCCCCUCUCUGUGUCCAUGUAUUCUCAUUGUU